Molecule: ribosomal RNA, 402 nt
Filed under: uncultured bacterium
Lineage: Bacteria
Description: bacterial SSU rRNA
Rfam family: Bacterial small subunit ribosomal RNA
Source: RNAcentral
UGGGGAAUAUUGGACAAUGGGGGAAACCCUGAUCCAGCAAUGCCGCGUGAGUGAAGAAGGCCUUAGGGUUGUAAAGCUCUUUCGCCCGCGAAGAUAAUGACGGUAGCGGGAGAAGAAGCCCCGGCUAACUACGUGCCAGCAGCCGCGGUAAUACGUAGGGUGCGAGCGUUAAUCGGAAUUACUGGGCGUAAAGCGUGCGCAGGCGGUUAUGCAAGACAGGUGUGAAAUCCCCGGGCUCAACCUGGGAACUGCACUUGUGACUGCAUGACUAGAGUGCGUCAGAGGGAGGUGGAAUUCCGCGUGUAGCAGUGAAAUGCGCAGAGAUGCGGAGGAACACCGAUGGCGAAGGCAGCCUCCUGGGAUGACACUGACGCUCAUGCACGAAAGCGUGGGGAGCAAACA